UACGUAGGGGGCGAGCGUUAUCCGGAUUUACUGGGCGUAAAGCGCACGCAGGCGGUCUGCUAAGUUCGGAGUGACAGUCACCAGCUUAACUGGUGAAGGACUUUGAAAACUGGCGGACUUGAGAGCGAGAGAGGGACAUGGAAUUUCGGGUGGAGCAGUGAAAUGCGUAGAUAUCCGGAGGAACACCAAAGGCGAAGGCAGUGUCCUGGCUCGUAUCUGACGCUGAGGUGCGAAAGCUAGGGGAGCGAACGGG
RNAcentral lists this ribosomal RNA (253 nucleotides) under uncultured bacterium. RNAcentral describes it as "partial 16S ribosomal RNA". It matches the Rfam family "Bacterial small subunit ribosomal RNA", at positions 524 to 776 of the family's 1533-position model. The record is from RNAcentral.